Paramuricea clavata is the source of this 253-nucleotide non-coding RNA. Lineage: Eukaryota; Metazoa; Cnidaria; Anthozoa; Malacalcyonacea; Plexauridae. The record is from the annotation of a GenBank genome assembly.
GACUCGAAAAUUGACGUUGUUAUUUUUUAGUCUAAUUUGAAAGAUCAUUGAAAACUGUAGCGUAACUUCUUUGAUAGAUUUUUGUUUUCUUGCUUCGUUUUGAAGAUAUUUCAUUUUGUAUGAUAUGCAGAGGACCAACUUUCUACGUCACAUAUGCAUAAUGAUUUAGCCCUGAAAGCUAGCUGUAUAUCUUUAAUACGACUAAACACAAUCAGUAGAAAACCUACAUGGGUGUUGUUGUGGACAAAUCUCG